AUCCAUUUGACGAGUCCCAAAUAGGACGAAACAUGAAUCCUGAAU
Molecule: non-coding RNA, 45 nt
Organism: Schistosoma haematobium
Lineage: Eukaryota; Metazoa; Platyhelminthes; Trematoda; Strigeidida; Schistosomatidae
Source: Rfam